AACAUUUUUUAUUGUGGUAAAAUACACAUAAAAGCUACCAUUUUAACAAUUUUUAGUUGUACAGUUCAGUGGCAUUAAGUACAUUCACGGUUGUGUAACCAUCACCACCAUCCAUCACCAGAACGGUUUCAUCGUCCCAAACUGAAAUUCUGUACUCAUUAAACAGUAACUCACCACUCUCCCUUCCCACACCAUUCUACCUUCGUCUUGAGCCAACCUCUUUAAAUUUCUCAAAUAACUGGAAUCCUGCAGUCUUGACGCUUUGUGAGUCCACGAACUGUAGCCUGCCAGGCUCUUCUGGAGUGGGUAGCCAUUCCUUUCUCCAGGGGAACUUCCCAACCCAGGGAUCUGACUCAUGUCUCCUGCAUUGCAGGCAGAUUCUUUACCGUUCAGCCACCAGGGAAGCCCAUAAAAGACUAUAAAUUGGUUUCAAGCUAUCUAAACAAGGUCCAUGUAACAUGUGGCUGCUGUGUUUCUAAGCGUUUUUAGAUCCGAGCAAUUUGCUCCCCCCCUUUUUUAGACUCUACUGCUUUAUUGCAGAAUGAACUCAAUUCAUACAUGCAUGCAUUUAUCAACAACAAAAAUCCAUGCAUUUAAAAAGAACCACGCACUGUAUACUGAGGUUCUGAAAGCUGCUUCUAAUUUAGAAAUACUGGAAGUAGUUACAGAGACACAUUACUUAUAAGUUCAUAUGAACCUCAUAUGGUUACUCUUAGUUCCAGCUUUGUCAGAUCACCUCAUCACAAUUUAGCAAACCACAAUUUUGGUCUAGGUAGAUGCACCCAGUACAGCAGGGGGCAGGAUUACCUCCUCCUAGAAGCCAAGUGCUUAGGAAACCGCUUCUAACGUUAAUCAGAGAGAAUGGUUUUCAAGUUAAGUACAAAGAUAACUAAAAGAAAAAGUUUUUCUGAAUACAGAGAUAAGGUAAAUUCCCAGAGAAUGUGCUGCUGAGGAAACAUCUUAUUUAAAUAAAAGACUGUCGGUAUUCUGUUUGAAAGAGCAAUCAGACUGGGUUUAAAAGCGGGGCAGGAGUAUCAAAGUGGGUAGGAGAGAGGGUGGACGACUAAGGAAGGAGGGCGAAGAGCCGGAAAAAGAGUCGUCAGCUGCCAGAGAAGAGUGGAAACCUGCUUAGCAGGUCAUUUAACGAAAUGAACCAAGACGCAGGAGGAAUGUCCCCGUGGCGAGGGAAGUCGAGCGAGGGACGACAGCAGGAGACUUAACUCCGGAGUUUGGAAGGCCGUGCUGAAGCCGGUUUUUCCACGGACUGGAACAAUCCUGAACAAGGUACUGGGCGCGGACUCGGAAACAAGCCUCAGCUGCCAGCCUCCCCACGCCCAGGGAGUGACCAGCGAAACCCAGGGCGCGCCCCAGCAGGUGAUUCUGAAGGCGUGACGAGUCUGCGCUCUCCUUCCGUGCCUCCGCCGCGGGAAGUAGUCCCCGGCUGCGCCGGCUCCGUAGAAAUCUGGGCCGGGGAGCCCUGAGGCCCUCAGGACAUGAGUCCCAGGAGCGGCGGACGCGCAGCCAAUCCCUGGAAAGAAGGCGUGGCUAACUCGGUCCCGCGGAUCCCUCCGCCUGUGCUCGAUGUGCUGAGGCAGAGAAAGCCGCCAUUUUGGAUGCUGAGUCUUGGUUUCCAAGUGCGACUCUACCGUUUUCACGUCCGGAUUUGGCUAGGAGGAACAACACAGCAUGCUGGGCUCUGGAUUUAAAGCUGAGCGUUUACGAGUCAAUUUGAGAUUAGUCAUAAACCGUCUUAAACUGUUGGAGAAAAAAAAAACGGAAUUGGCCCAGAAAGCAAGGAAAGAGAUUGCUGACUAUCUGGCUGCUGGGAAGGAUGAACGAGCUCGAAUCCGAGUGGAGCACAUCAUUCGAGAAGACUACCUUGUGGAGGCCAUGGAGAUCCUGGAACUGUACUGUGACCUGCUGCUGGCUCGAUUUGGCCUCAUCCAGUCUAUGAAGUAAGCUGUUUUGUCCUUUUUUUCCCUUCAUUGGGGGUAUAGUUGAUUUUGGAAGAAAUUUCACGUAUUUAGUGUGUGUAGGUGUACAAUUUGAUGAAUUUGGGCAUAGGCAUAUAUAUACCUGUACACUUCAUCAUAGGUUAAAAAAGCAGUCGUCAUCUCCAAAAAUUUCCUUAUAUCCCUUUUUUUGAUAAGAACACAACAUAAGAUCUGCCUUAAAC
Odocoileus virginianus texanus is the source of this 2176-nucleotide non-coding RNA. NCBI's taxonomy places the organism in Eukaryota, Metazoa, Chordata, Mammalia, Artiodactyla, Cervidae. The record is from RefSeq and is a predicted model, not a curated record.